CCAAGGAGUCUAACAUGUGCGCGAGUCACUCGGUCUUGAUUAGGCCAGAGAGGCGCAAUGAAAGUAAAGCUUGUUAAGUUACGAUCUCCAUGCCAGUUAUCCUUGAGUGGGUAACGGUGGAGCGCAGUAACAGCCCGCUAAUUCCGCUUAUUGACGGUCUAGCGGAGUUAUAGCGUACACGUUGGUACCCGAAAGAUGGUGAACUAUGCCUGGGCAAGACGAAGCCAGAGGAAACUCUGGUGGAGGUCUGUAGCGAUUCUGACGUGCAAAUCGAUCGUCAGACCUGGGUAUAGGGGCGAAAGACUAAUCGAACCAUC
Molecule: ribosomal RNA, 317 nt
Filed under: Tectocepheus sarekensis
Lineage: Eukaryota; Metazoa; Arthropoda; Arachnida; Sarcoptiformes; Tectocepheidae
Description: eukaryotic LSU rRNA
Rfam family: Eukaryotic large subunit ribosomal RNA
Source: RNAcentral